ACGUCCACUUACUUGGAGUCCGAACUCUCACUUUCUAACCCUGUGCACUUGUUUGGGAUAGUAACUCUCGCAAGAGAGCGAACUCCUAUUCACUUAUAAACACAAAGUCUAUGAAUGUAUUAAAUUUUAUAACAAAAUAAAACUUUCAACAACGGAUCUCUUGGCUCUCGCAUCGAUGAAGAACGCAGCGAAAUGCGAUAAGUAAUGUGAAUUGCAGAAUUCAGUGAAUCAUCGAAUCUUUGAACGCACCUUGCGCUCCAUGGUAUUCCGUGGAGCAUGCCUGUUUGAGUGUCAUGAAUACUUCAACCCUCCUCUUUCUUAAUGAUUGAAGAGGUGUUUGGUUUCUGAGCGCUGCUGGCCUUUACGGUCUAGCUCGUUCGUAAUGCAUUAGCAUCCGCAAUCGAACUUCGGAUUGACUUGGCGUAAUAGACUAUUCGCUGAGGAAUUCUAGUCUUCGGAUUAGAGCCGGGUUGGGUUAAAGGAAGCUUCUAAUCAGAAUGUCUACAUUUUAAGAUUAGAUCUCAAAUCAGGUAGGACUACCCGCUGAACUUAAGCAUAUCAAUAAGCGGAGGAAAAGAAACUAACAAGGAUUCCCCUAGUAGCGGCGAGCGAAGCGGGAAGAGCUCAAAUUUAUAAUCUGGCACCUUCGGUGUCCGAGUUGUAAUCUCUAGAAAUGUUUUCCGCGUUGGACCGCACACAAGUCUGUUGGAAUACAGCGGCAUAGUGGUGAGACCCCCGUAUAUGGUGCGGACGCCCAGCGCUUUGUGAUACAUUUUCGAAGAGUCGA
Molecule: ribosomal RNA, 787 nt
Filed under: Rhodotorula mucilaginosa
Lineage: Eukaryota; Fungi; Basidiomycota; Microbotryomycetes; Sporidiobolales; Sporidiobolaceae
Description: eukaryotic LSU rRNA
Rfam family: Eukaryotic large subunit ribosomal RNA (bases 517-787)
Source: RNAcentral